GCUCGACGGCCUCCGGCUGCAGCUUGA
Molecule: small RNA, 27 nt
Filed under: Bombyx mori (domestic silkworm)
Lineage: Eukaryota; Metazoa; Arthropoda; Insecta; Lepidoptera; Bombycidae
Description: ovarian small RNA-17077
Source: RNAcentral